GCCCCAGUAGCUCAAUUGGACAGAGCAGUCCCGUCCUAAGGGAAAGGUUGGGGGUUCGAGUCCCUCCUGGGGUACCG
This 77-nucleotide transfer RNA is filed under the name Candidatus Woesebacteria bacterium RBG_16_41_13. Its description in RNAcentral is "tRNA-Arg". It matches the Rfam family "tRNA". From Rfam's summary of the family: Transfer RNA (tRNA) molecules are approximately 80 nucleotides in length. Lineage: Bacteria; Candidatus Woeseibacteriota. The record is from RNAcentral.